RNAcentral lists this long non-coding RNA (975 nucleotides) under Mytilus galloprovincialis (Mediterranean mussel). Lineage: Eukaryota; Metazoa; Mollusca; Bivalvia; Mytilida; Mytilidae. The record is from RNAcentral.
CCUUGGAGCAUUAACCCCAAAACUCAAUCCCAGCCUUUCCUUUGUAGUAUGGAACCUUGUAGUAUGAUUUCAGAGAGAUCCAUACACUUAAACACAAGUUAUUGUCUGGAAACUAGAAAAAUGCUUCUUUUUGGCCCCCAAUUCCUACAUGUUUGGGCCAAUUAACCCCAAACUCAAUCCCAGCCUUGCCUUUGUUAUAUGGAACCUUGUGGUUCCAGAAAUGUGACAGAGUUGUCAAGCCACAACUGGAGAUUUGGAAAUUUUCUGCUGGAGUUUGGGCUUCAUAACUGGAGAUUUUAAAUCAACCUUUUAUCGACAUACGCAAUUUUUUUUUUUUUUUGUGUUUGAAGUGCAUAUUUUCCUUUUUUGUUAUUAAAGCAAUGAUUCCAUACCUUUAAACACCUGUAUAGCCAUUUUAACUUGAUAAAAAAAUUAUUAUGUAUAGUUCAAGAUAAGGUGAUUAGCCAUCAUACAUAGUUGGCAAAAAGUAUCUCUGCUUAAGCUGUAUUGUCAACUUUUGGUACCACUACUAAUCAUGCUAGUAACAGAAGGUGUUAAAAUGAUAUAGUUGUUGGCUUAGUGUUGGGUAACUGUCUCCAUAUUUGGUUAAGUCAUUAGGGCCACCAUAGUUAGCUUUGCAUGAAGUGUAGUAAGCAUGGUCUUGACCCUUGGCACUGGACUUGCAACAUUUGAAAUCAGAUCUCCAGACAGAGUUGAAUUUGGUAUUCUUUUUUUUUUAAUUUACUGCUGGGGUAAUUGGUGAUAACAUACGGUUUGCAUUUUGUCAAAUUAUAAAAAAAAUAGAAUUGUCCAAGACGAACAUUCUUAUAUAAGUAUUCCAUUGGCUUGGAUAGAAUACAAGCCAUAAAUAUCAUAUUUGAGUUGAUCUUAUUUGUCUCUGAGGUUCAGUUACUGAUCCUUGCAGAAUUGUUUCAACAGCAUCAAAUUAAAGAAUAAAGUCGUUGUUUAUACAAC